Molecule: ribosomal RNA, 465 nt
Filed under: Vreelandella stevensii
Lineage: Bacteria; Pseudomonadati; Pseudomonadota; Gammaproteobacteria; Oceanospirillales; Halomonadaceae
Description: partial 16S ribosomal RNA
Rfam family: Bacterial small subunit ribosomal RNA
Source: RNAcentral
CCUACGGGUGGCUGCAGUGGGGAAUAUUGGACAAUAGGCGAAAGCCUGAUCCAGCCAUGCCGCGUGUGUGAAGAAGGCCUUCGGGUUGUAAAGCACUUUCAGUGGGGAAGAAAGCCUUGGGGCUAAUACCCUCGAGGAAGGACAUCACCCACAGAAGAAGCACCGGCUAACUCCGUGCCAGCAGCCGCGGUAAUACGGAGGGUGCGAGCGUUAAUCGGAAUUACUGGGCGUAAAGCGCGCGUAGGCGGUCUGAUAAGCCGGUUGUGAAAGCCCCGGGCUCAACCUGGGAACGGCAUCCGGAACUGUCAGGCUAGAGUGCAGGAGAGGAAGGUAGAAUUCCCGGUGUAGCGGUGAAAUGCGUAGAGAUCGGGAGGAAUACCAGUGGCGAAGGCGGCCUUCUGGACUGACACUGACGCUGAGGUGCGAAAGCGUGGGUAGCAAACAGGAUUAGAUACCCCAGUAGUC